Molecule: long non-coding RNA, 1348 nt
Filed under: Scophthalmus maximus (turbot)
Lineage: Eukaryota; Metazoa; Chordata; Actinopteri; Pleuronectiformes; Scophthalmidae
Description: lncRNA (ENSSMAG00000025526.1)
Source: RNAcentral
GCAUUCAGCCUACACACACUAACAAUCCUGCUCACACGCACACCAACACACUUAAACCGCAACAUCUCCGACUGUCCUCUCUGUCUCCCAACACACCAGGAAAUGUUUUUCUUCUCCGAGGCAGCCUAAGUGGAGUGGUCCACUGAAGCCAACCCUCUGUAAUUAACUGUCACAGUGCCUCAUAACCAACAAAUGGACUUUGUGUCAAGGAGAGCCCAUUAAUUUACUGGCCUGCACUCAUCGAUUCAGAGCCUAUUAUCUCCAUUACAGCAGGCUUUCAUGUCUCGGCAUCCUGUCCUGGUAACCCUCGAUUUUUCCGUCUCAAUUUGCACAGAUUCCCUGGAACUUGCUUGAGGGGCUCAUGGACAAUGUGUCUUCUCAGACACACGCCAUGGAUCAAACACAUAAAGAGAUUCUACACUGCUGGUCCUACACUCUGAAGAGGGAUCGCAUCUCUGCUCCCCUCGCUCCCUCGCUCCCUCCACCUCUGUCUCUCUCCACUCCUCACCUUCCCCCUGUUUCUUCACUCCUCACCUUCUACAACUUUUUGCCCUAUCUGCGGGUUCAUCAGAGGAUAGAGGAAAGACAGGAGUAUGGGUGGAAGUCAGAGAGACCAGACGGGGGAGAGAAAGAAUCCUGUGAGAGUAAGGGAGCGAAGGGCCAAAGGGACACUGACAAGGCACCGUGUUCCUGAACUCUGCUUACUCUCAAUUCUGAAAAUGUUCAUUCAUCUGCCUCCAGAAAGUCAUUCAUUCAAUCACCACGAACCUGUGUUAUCUUAAAUUGAACUGGGGAUGCAUACGAGCAGUGAUAAUGGAAUUGUUUCUCCUGUGAUUUGCUGCGUUGUGUUUGGACUAUAUUGUCAUCGCAGUGCGUGAUGACAACCCCAAGGCGCCCUUACAUUGAACACUGUGAGACCAUAGCAGUAGCCAUUAUACAAUUUUCCCAUCAUGCAGACUUUGAGUGUUUUUAUUGUUCCCAGCCUCUCGGUUUGCUUGCAAUAUUUCUGUGUUAUCCAUCACUCUUUUCCUCCCAUCACCACAUCCUCAUUUACAGUACCUGCAUUGCAGCAACUAUCAGUAAUAUUUAGGGAUCUAUUUUACAAGAACGACCAUAAAGACCAGCGGCAGAGUGUAUACAAAAACACCUCCAAUCCCCUCCUAACCUUUACAACACUUCAAUAGCCGGUGGUGGAAACUAAUAAAGAGUAUUCACUCAAUAAUGAUGAUCAUAAUUUAAUAAAAAGCCUUUAGGAUUAAACCGGAGGCCCUGCGAUAUCUUACAAAAAAGAGCCUUUGGUCACAUUUCAUAUAUAUCUAUGAGUUGUUAGCAGUUAAUCCAAUGAGAC